This 1059-nucleotide long non-coding RNA is filed under the name Callithrix jacchus (white-tufted-ear marmoset). RNAcentral describes it as "lncRNA (ENSCJAG00000081375.1)". The record is from RNAcentral. Lineage: Eukaryota; Metazoa; Chordata; Mammalia; Primates; Cebidae.
UAUUAAACAGGGGAUCUUUCCCCCAUUGCUUGUUUUUGUCAUGUUUGUCCAAGAUCAGAUGGUUGUAAAUGUGUGGUGUUAUUUCUGAGACCUCUGUUCUGUUUCAUUGAUCUAUAUAUCUGUUUUGGUACCAGUACCAUGCUGUUUUGGUUAGUGUAGCCUUGUAGUAUGGUUUGAAGUCAGGUAGCGUGAAGUCUUCAGCUUGGUUCUUUUUGCUUAGGAUUGUCUUGGCUAUGUGGGCUUUUUUUUUUGGUUCCAUAUGAAAUGUAAAGUAGUUUUUUUCUAAUUUUGUGAAGAAAGUCAAUGUAGCUUGAUGUGGAUUGCAUUGAAUCUAUAAAUUACUUUGGCUAUUAUGGCCAUUUUUAUCAUAUUGAUUCUUCCUAUCCAUGAGCAUGGAAUGUUUUUCAUUUGUUUGUGUCCUCUCUUAUUUCCUUGAGCAGUGGUUUGUAGUUCUCCAUGAGGAGGUCCUUCACAUCUCUUGUAGUGUUGUAUUCCUAGGUGUAGGGCUGUGGAGACCCCACAGGGUCGUGGGGUGACCCUUAUGCUGUGUUGAGGUGCAGGAUCCAAGAGGCAAAGAGACAGGACACUGAAGAACUGGUGAAGAGCAUCUGGACUCAGGGGGCCACACCAUCUGUGAGCAGAGAUCAGCGGCGGCCUCCAAAUGCCCAAGAGCAUCUGUAUUUAUUAGGUACAAGCAGGGGGCAGGGUUGUGGGUGAAUUCAUCAUCUAUAGGCUUAGUAAUAGGGCAUAAAUAAUUACGUGAGUUAUAAGCGAGGGGACCACCCCAUUAUGUCACCUGGGCAGAGAGGUGGGCCAUGUGAAGCAGGGGGCCAUGCCAUGCACAGUAGUAGAGGGUCAUGUACAGAAAAGAGGUCCAUCCCCAUUAGGUCACCAAGGCAAGGAGGUGGGCUGUGUGCAACAGGUGUCAUGCACAACACGUCUAAUCUGGGGGCUGGAGACUUCAAAGGAUUUCUAAUAGAAGGAUACUGUAAGUGUAAUGCAGUGGGAGCUGACAGACUUGUGCUCUUCUCGAAGCUGCCAAGCAGAGAUAAACUUUAG